CUCGUAGGCGGUUCAGUAAGUUGGGUGUGAAAGCUCCGGGCUCAACCCGGAGAGGCCACUCAAUACUGCUGUGACUAGAGUCCAGUAGAGGAGCGUGGAACUCCUGGUGUAGCGGUGAAAUGCGCAGAUAUCAGGAAGAACACCGGCAGCGAAGGCGGCGCUCUGGGCUGGUACUGACGCUGAGGAGCGAAAGCAUGGGUAGCAAACA
This 208-nucleotide ribosomal RNA is filed under the name uncultured bacterium. RNAcentral describes it as "partial 16S ribosomal RNA". It matches the Rfam family "Bacterial small subunit ribosomal RNA", at positions 568 to 774 of the family's 1533-position model. The record is from RNAcentral.